RNAcentral lists this ribosomal RNA (430 nucleotides) under Pseudomonadota bacterium. RNAcentral's name for it is "Proteobacteria bacterium partial 16S ribosomal RNA". It matches the Rfam family "Bacterial small subunit ribosomal RNA", at positions 355 to 776 of the family's 1533-position model. Lineage: Bacteria; Pseudomonadati; Pseudomonadota. The record is from RNAcentral.
UGGGGAAUAUUGGACAAUGGGCGAAAGCCUGAUCCAGCCAUGCCGCGUGUGUGAAGAAGGCCUUUUGGUUGUAAAGCACUUUAAGCGAGGAGGAGGCUACUAGUACUAAUACUACUGGAUAGUGGACGUUACUCGCAGAAUAAGCACCGGCUAACUCUGUGCCAGCAGCCGCGGUAAUACAGAGGGUGCGAGCGUUAAUCGGAUUUACUGGGCGUAAAGCGUGCGUAGGCGGCUGAUUAAGUCGGAUGUGAAAUCCCUGAGCUUAACUUAGGAAUUGCAUUCGAUACUGGUCAGCUAGAGUAUGGGAGAGGCUGGUAGAAUUCCAGGUGUAGCGGUGAAAUGCGUAGAGAUCUGGAGGAAUACCGAUGGCGAAGGCAGCCAUCUGGCCUAAUACUGACGCUGAGGUACGAAAGCAUGGGGAGCAAACAGG